CCAAGAAGAUCCUUUUGCCUCUCUGGCAAUUUCUGAAUUUUAUUUUGUUUGGUGUUUUUCUUCACUGCGAUAAUUGUAACAAUCUUUCACCAAAUUCUUCCACGACUUCAACUUUAUACAAUCACACUCUGUCGUCUUCUUCCCCUCAACAAUCUUCUCUUUCCAUUACGAUCCACCGUCUCCCUCUCCGUACUCAAAAGUCGAUACCCUGUCGCUCUAUUCUCGAAGCUGCGUUUCGAUCGAUACAAACACACUUUUAAUUCUUUAUUCUUUCGGUGUUUAUGUUUUUGGGGGGUUUCUGGAAACGGAAUUAUUUUUGAAUAAAGAACGGAUUGCAAUCGGGAGUGAUAAUGAAUUACAGUGAGCGUAGUUCAGAGGUUUGAUCGUUCAACCAUGUGGUUCUCCUUCUGGCGAUCCAGAGAUCGAUUCUCCGCAGUGGAACUCAGAUAUUUAAUUGAGCAGCUGCAGAAAGUUCAAAUUGUUAAUGAGGUUAACAAGGAGUUUGUAUAGAGGCAUUGAGAUCGAUAGCAGAGUUAUUAACAUAUGGUGAUCAACACGAUUCGUCUUUUUUUUUGAGUAAGACUUCUCAAGGUUAACCGC
This is a non-coding RNA of Carica papaya (papaya), 600 nucleotides long. NCBI's taxonomy places the organism in Eukaryota, Viridiplantae, Streptophyta, Magnoliopsida, Brassicales, Caricaceae. The record is from RefSeq and is a predicted model, not a curated record.